CUUACCCUGAGCCGGGCUUACCCUGUAAGCUUCUCUCCUUCCGCCGGGCCCCUGAAUGAGCACACCAGACCCAACCCUGAGCCCAGCUCACUGAGAGGCACCAAGGCCAGCUGGCCCAGAGCUUGAAGCCCACUCACCCAGCCCAGCCCAGCCUAGACCAGCUGAUUCCUGCAAACCCAUGGAGGCGACAAGAAAGCUUCCCCUGCUAGCUGCUAUUCCUCCAACUGGGACUCUGGAAUGAACAGACAGGGAACAAACCCGAGCCCAGUUCACAGAAACCGAGCACAGAUGGACCCACAGCUUGAAGUGGGGCCACCAGCUAAUAGCUUCCCCUGGAGGAUCCCAUCAAAGCCAAGGACCAGAGGGAGGAAGAACGGCAGCAGAUGCGAGCUGAAGCCUAGGUCUGUCUGGUGGAGCCCAGGAGGAAGUCGUGCGGGAGGCGGGGUCCUGAAAGGGUCAGAAUAGAUACAUCGAAGGAUGGAGGGAGUCUCAGUACCAAUUACAAGCCAUGGCUUUACAAGCAGUGCCUUCAGCCUGGAAUUUGAGAUGACUGCAAGAAGAAGAUUUUCUUUCUUCCCACCACCCCCUUCUUCUUUUUACCUCCCAGAACUUAGCUGUGUUACAAGAAUAAUGAGUCCUGUUCCUAACACACCUUUGCCACGGUCCUCCAUGGCCCCCUGGGUGGUAGCCAUCCGAUGUUUUAGCUGCUAAGAAGAUUAGUCAGUGACAUCGCCAGAGCCUGUCCUUCGGUGGUGGGUAGUCUGUCCUGCUGCAGAACAGGGCUUGGCAAGGAGAGAGGCCUGUCUCUAGGGCCCCAGAAGGGUCAGCUCUUCAGCCAGGCCAACCUGCUGGUUUGGGGCCUCCUGCGGAAAGCUGGAGCUGCAUUUGGGCCUCGUGGGGAGGCUGCAGGUUUCAUGGCCAAAUACCUGCCCUGGUGUCCACCAAGUCUCUGCAGACUCUGCCAAAGCCCUGGACUUGGCCACGGAUGAGGGAAACACCACAGAGGAGGAGAUGGCCAUGGAGACCCAAAGUCCCUCCGCGCUUCUAGAGGGCAUGGUGUGGAGGCCCCAGCAGAAGAAGCUUCUGAGUGCUCAAAUGAGGAGCCUGGAGGAACAAGAGCUUGUGGGGACCCGGGUUUGAUCCCUGGUCUGGGAAGAUUCCACAUGCUGCAGAGCAACCAAGCCCCAGUGUGUCAACUACUGAAGCCCACAUGCCCUGGAGCCCAUCCUCUGCAACAAGAGAAGCCACCGCAAUGAGAAGCCCACAUCCCGAAAUUAGAGAGUAGCCCCCACUUGCCACAACUAGAGAAAGCCCAUGCAACAACAAAGACCCAGCAUAGCCAUAAAUAAAUAAUUUAAAAA
Molecule: long non-coding RNA, 1361 nt
Organism: Bos taurus (domestic cattle)
Lineage: Eukaryota; Metazoa; Chordata; Mammalia; Artiodactyla; Bovidae
Source: Ensembl